This 506-nucleotide ribosomal RNA is filed under the name uncultured Synechococcus sp. RNAcentral describes it as "bacterial SSU rRNA". It matches the Rfam family "Bacterial small subunit ribosomal RNA", at positions 1009 to 1515 of the family's 1533-position model. Lineage: Bacteria; Bacillati; Cyanobacteriota; Cyanophyceae; Synechococcales; Synechococcaceae. The record is from RNAcentral.
UGGGAGUGCCUUCGGGAGCGCAGUGACAGGUGGUGCAUGGCUGUCGUCAGCUCGUGUCGUGAGAUGUUGGGUUAAGUCCCGCAACGAGCGCAACCCACGUCUUUAGUUGCCAGCAUUUANUUGGGCACUCUAGAGAGACUGCCGGUGAUAAACCGGAGGAAGGCGUGGAUGACGUCAAGUCAUCAUGCCCCUUACAUCCUGGGCUACACACGUACUACAAUGCUACGGACAAAGGGCAGCAAACUCGCGAGAGCUAGCAAAUCCCAUAAACCGUGGCUCAGUUCAGAUCGUAGGCUGCAACUCGCCUACGUGAAGGAGGAAUCGCUAGUAAUCGCAGGUCANCAUACUGCGGUGAAUACGUUCCCGGGCCUUGUACACACCGCCCGUCACACCAUGGAAGUUGGCCACGCCCGAAGUCGUUACUCCAACCCUUGUGGAGGAGGAUGCCGAAGGUGGGGCUGAUGACUGGGGUGAAGUCGUAACAAGGUAGCCGUACCGGAAGGUGC